Molecule: long non-coding RNA, 1273 nt
Organism: Vespula vulgaris
Lineage: Eukaryota; Metazoa; Arthropoda; Insecta; Hymenoptera; Vespidae
Exons: 3
Source: RefSeq, a predicted model, not a curated record
AGGAAGAAAAAGAAAAAAAGAAGUCUUUACUCUCACGAACGUCUGCAGAUAAGUGUAUAUGAUUUACGACGGAUUCGGAAGAUGAUUUGUAAUUGUGCCCCGUUUAACCCUGAAUGAAAUUAAUCGCCGAUCUCUGUGAUGGUUAACUUUCUUACACGUUCGCGCGAUUAUUAUCACCGUGAGAUCAGCCAUUUUAUAUUUUCUGAGAUGAAAAUGUUAUCGAGAAGCUGAAAGAACAUGAGGGAUAAGUAACGCGAGCUCAAUCGGCGAGUAUGUAUUCGAACGGUGCGAUUAAGCCUCGUUACAUUCGAUGCGGCUACGGAUAGAGCGAUAAGAAAUAUGGAAAUAUUGCGGUCGCAGUUAUGGAAUUACGUCACCGUCGUAUUUAUUUGUAUGUUAGUUAGAGAGAGCGUAAACAAAACAAGAGCUUGGCUCGAGCCAAGGAGACACUCGUUAUUCUCUCAUACCAGUGUGAUCCUCGAUACAGUAAACAUCUCUCCGAGAGAACGUCUUCAAGUUCGUCGCAUUUUCUAAAUUUUCUACAAUAAUUUAAGUAAAAUCUAACUUUUCAUUUAUAUUUUAUACAUAUAUAUUUAUUACUUUUUGUGUCUCAAGCUUAAUAAUUUAUAAUUUAUUAAUAGUAAUCGAUCGUAUUUCGUGUCUUAUUAAACUUCGUAUAUUUCAUUUCUUAAUCUAUAUAUAUAUAUGUAUGUAUGUAUGUGUAUGUAUAUGUAUUAUACAUAUAGAUUCUUUUAAUAAGUUCAUAUUUAAUUCUUAGUGUUUCUCGUUUAAUAUAAUUUAUUAUAUUUCAGAUUGUUUUCGUUCAUUCUCUUUAUAUUCGACGAAUUUUCAAUUACGAUCGCGAACAAUGUGAUUUAUAGAAUCAGUCCUCGUCCGAAAUAUUUAUAAUAAUACUUUUAUCAAUCCAAUUAAAUUGCUUUACAAAUUAAAUAAAAUCGCAAAUCAGAAUCAAGGUUACACGAUAAUAUCUUUACGAAGGAAAAUUAGAUCGUUAACAUUAAUCUACGAUAUCAAUCUAACUAAUUAUUAAUAUUACGUCGACGUAUAAUAGAUUUAUACUCACGAUUAGAUAUUAUAUAUUAGAUCGAUAAUAAAAUAACUAUAAGAUUAAACAAAUAUAAUCGUAAUAGAUAAUUUUAUCGAGUAUAGACAUUUUAAAUAUAGGUAAACAUUAUAUUAUGUAUAAUAAAUACGUUAUACGUUUUGUAUAGAUCGUUAAGAAGCGUAGAAAUGAAUAACAACCAUUAGGAGA